RNA transcript from Oryza sativa Japonica Group (Japanese rice), 1832 nucleotides. RefSeq lists it as uncharacterized. Lineage: Eukaryota; Viridiplantae; Streptophyta; Magnoliopsida; Poales; Poaceae. The record is from RefSeq and is a predicted model, not a curated record.
CGCAACUGCCCACAAAUUCCAAAACCAAAAAAAAUUCCUCUCAAUCCCCUUCCCUCCAAUUCUCCACUUCCCCAUCCAUGGCAACCGCCGCCGCAGGCGAUGAUCCACCGUCACCGCCGCCGCCAGCGGAGCGGCCCGGAGGGUGGUUCUCCGGCCUGGUAUGCGGCGCCGGCCGCCUCCUCGCCGCCGUGCUCGGCCCGGACUCCCCCGACUCCGGCACCGGCGGCUCCGCUUCCUCCUCGCAGGAGUCGUCGUCCCAGUCUCCGCCGCCUCCGCGCGGCCACCGCGGCAGUGGCGAUAAUACUGCGCACUUUGCUUCUAACAAUCAGUUCAACCAGAGCGGAAAGGAGAUUACUCUAAAAGACAGUGGUGUGGGAUCCUUAGCACUUGUCUCAGAGAUAGAUCCCAAGGAUGCUAUACUGCAGAUGCUUUUGCAAGAAACGUACUCAAGAUCGGAAUGUGAUAUACUGAUAAAGAUAAUUCACGAGCGGGUUGUGGACUCAGACCCUGAUGUGGUUGAACCUUCUAUUGUUCUUCCAAUUGCUUGGCAAACUAGCCAACAGCAAGAUCAUGUUCCAUACUCUUCAUUUCGUCCAAACACUUGCUCUGCGAGUUCAAAUGUUCAUGAUUGUAGCCAACAGCUUGACAACAACAUUGUUGAGAACGGAUGGCUUGAAGAGAGUCAGCAUGCUCUGAAAAGAAGUAAUUCUUGCACUGGACAUAACCUCGAUGAGUCUCACUCCCGAAGUGUCAGACCAAAGCUAAAUGAUUUGAACAUUUCAAAUAGGCAGGAUGGUAUUCUUAAGAGUCAUUCAGAUAUAGCUUCAUUUGAAGAGGCAACCACCAAGUACCCUAAUGCAUUCAGGGGGAUACCAGAAGAUACAAAGAAGCUGUUCAAAGAUAUCCCCCUUCUCGGGACGGACAACCUAAUAUUUUCCAACAUUGUUUCAUAUGAUGACACUGAUAAUGACAUAUCAGCUCUCCGUGGUAAGCGUCCUGCUGUAACUGCACGGACCUUUGCUUCAGCCACUAGUGAAGCCAACCGGGAUAACCGUUGUCCUACCAUGCUCUAUCCAUACUCUGAUCGGGACCUGACAAAUACCUUUCCUAUUAAGGUGGAACCUUUGGAUGAUAUUGUUCCUUUUGAUCCUGAAAUAGUAGUCCUUUCACGCAAAAACCGUAACACAGGCACCAUCUGCAAUGACCCUUGUUCUGUUUCAAAACUUAUGUUUCAAGAGGACAAGGAGGCUGCGCCCAGUUCAUCAACAGGCGUGCCGCUUGAAAACAGUCCUAGGAAUUGCACAGGAGCUAGCCUGCAAAGGAGCACUCAAACUAGGAGAAGUUCACCUGCUAAUGUAUAUCGUCGCCAAUACAUUGACAGCAGAACCCGAUCAAGGAGUGGUCCAUCACAUCAAGGCGAACCGAUAGCGGUUGGCCAGGAGCCAGACUUGGCUCCAACCCAGGCGAAGAAACCGGUUGGGAGGCCAAGGAAGUCAAGAAGGUGAGGUACUGGAAGGCCAGCAGAAGAUGAAGAAUGCGCAAGAUCAGAACUGUAAAAGGCUCACUCCAGGCGGAGCAGGUUAAUCCCUACCAGAAGUACAGAACAGCAUGCAGGACAUGUACCACCAAGCUAAAGUCUGUCCGGAUAAUUAAACCGUGUAUAUAUGUACGAAUUUUCCAAAGUGCACCUAGAGCACAUGUACAGAUGUAACAUACACAGGAUUUUAGCUUGCUAAAGCUAACCAUAUAAGUACAGUAUAUAUAGUAUUGUACUCCCUCCGUUCAAAAAAAAAAACAAACCCUAAAUUUCCGUGUUUAACGUUUGACUGUCU